RNAcentral lists this ribosomal RNA (439 nucleotides) under uncultured bacterium. Its description in RNAcentral is "partial 16S ribosomal RNA". It matches the Rfam family "Bacterial small subunit ribosomal RNA", at positions 339 to 795 of the family's 1533-position model. The record is from RNAcentral.
CUACGGGUUGCAGCAGUGGGGAAUAUUGGACAAUGGGCGCAAGCCUGAUCCAGCAAUGCCGCGUGAGUGAUGAAGGCCUUAGGGUUGUAAAGCUCUUUUACCCGGGAUGAUAAUGACAGUACCGGGAGAAUAAGCUCCGGCUAACUCCGUGCCAGCAGCCGCGGUAAUACGGAGGGAGCUAGCGUUGUUCGGAAUUACUGGGCGUAAAGCGCGCGUAGGCGGCUGCUCAAGUCAGAGGUGAAAGCCCGGGGCUCAACCCCGGAACUGCCUUUGAAACUAGGUAGCUAGAAUCUUGGAGAGGUCAGUGGAAUUCCGAGUGUAGAGGUGAAAUUCGUAGAUAUUCGGAAGAACACCAGUGGCGAAGGCGACUGACUGGACAAGUAUUGACGCUGAGGUGCGAAAGCGUGGGGAGCAAACAGGAUUAGAUACCCCGGUAGUC